Molecule: non-coding RNA, 778 nt
Organism: Cucurbita pepo subsp. pepo (vegetable marrow)
Lineage: Eukaryota; Viridiplantae; Streptophyta; Magnoliopsida; Cucurbitales; Cucurbitaceae
Source: RefSeq, a predicted model, not a curated record
CUGUCAUAUUUGGGAACUGGUUUAUGACUUCCAUAUUCAAACCCCUUUCUUCAGAUGCUUUGGAGGACUUGAAGUGAUGCAGGGUCCAUGAUAAGGAUGUACAUGUCAUCUAAUAUUGAUUGGCAAAUGCAAGCAUCUACGAUUGGUUUGAUUUACUACUGUUCUUGAAAAGAGAGAGGGAAUGAUCAAAAUUUGCGUGUAAAGAAGUAAUAAAGCCAUAAAGAGGAAAAAAUGAAGAUAAGUACACAAAUCCUCCUUUCUUCGAAAAUUCAUACUUUCCAGAAGGAACAGAUUACUGAUGGAAUGAAGCAAAAGGCAAGUAAAGUAGCACAGGUAAUCCUUACUAUUCAGAAUUUUACUACCAUUUUGAUAAUUUUUCAAAUGCUUCUAAGACAAGAUAUAGUGAAUUUCUUGGAAACUGGCAAAGGGUUGGAUGAUUAGUGCUCUCCUUGGAAUGAAAAUGAUGGAAAUGACAUUACUAGCUAAAAAAGGUCUCUUUCUUGAAUCAGAUCUUGCAUCCAUUAUUGCUGCUGCCUUCUGAUAGGCUUCACUUUUUAAGACAAUCAUUUUAAUUAUUUCUUACAUUAUAUGUUUAAAUUGGAUAAAGUUUGAUGAGUAGUUCUGUAUAAUGAGUAUGCUUUGGAGGUAGAUGAAGUUGGAGGAUCUGGAUGAGUCUUUUCCUGAAGAAGGUACAAAGAGGACGUCUCCUUCACUGAUUACAUCACUUCUAAGUGAUUCUUGAGGCAGCAUCCUCCCCUCUCCUCCAGCAACCAGAAAU